UUAUUGCUUGAAAACACA
Molecule: microRNA, 18 nt
Filed under: Corchorus olitorius
Lineage: Eukaryota; Viridiplantae; Streptophyta; Magnoliopsida; Malvales; Malvaceae
Description: bma-miR-1
Source: RNAcentral